CUACGGGUCGCUCCAGUGGGGAAUAUUGCACAAUGGGCGCAAGCCUGAUGCAGCAACGCCGCGUGAGGGACGAAGGCCUUCGGGUUGUAAACCUCUUUUAGCAGGGAAGAAGCGAAAGUGACGGUACCUGCAGAAAAAGCACCGGCUAACUACGUGCCAGCGAGCCGCGGUAAUACGUAGGGUGCAAGCGUUGUCCGGAAUUAUUGGGCGUAAAGAGCUCGUAGGCGGUUUGUCACGUCUGCUGUGAAAUUUCGAGGCUCAACCUCGAACUUGCAGUGGGUACGGGCAGGCUAGAGUGCGGUAGGGGAGAUGGGAAUUCCUGGUGUAGCGGUGGAAUGCGCAGAUAUCAGGAGGAACACCAAUGGCGAAGGCACAUCUCUGGGCCGUAACUGACGCUGAGGAGCGAAAGCGUGGGGAGCAAACAGGAUUAGAUACCCCAGUAGUC
Molecule: ribosomal RNA, 445 nt
Filed under: uncultured bacterium
Lineage: Bacteria
Description: partial 16S ribosomal RNA
Rfam family: Bacterial small subunit ribosomal RNA
Source: RNAcentral